RNAcentral lists this ribosomal RNA (475 nucleotides) under Squamophis albozosteres. Its description in RNAcentral is "partial 16S ribosomal RNA". It matches the Rfam family "Archaeal large subunit ribosomal RNA", at positions 1948 to 2666 of the family's 2987-position model. The record is from RNAcentral. Lineage: Eukaryota; Metazoa; Echinodermata; Ophiuroidea; Euryalida; Asteroschematidae.
UGCCUGCCCGGUGAUAAUAAAAAUUUAACGGCUGCGGUAUUUUGACCGUGCGAAGGUAGCAUAAUCAUUAGCCUGUUAAUUUCAGGCUGGAAUCAAUGGCAAGACGAAGAAAAUGCUGUCUCUUUGUAUUUAUACGAAGUUUUCUUUUUAGUGAAGAGACUAAAAUAGAUGAGCGGGACGAGAAGACCCUGUUGAGCUUUAAUUUCUCAGCAGAGAGAGUGUAUGCUGAAAAAUUUUGGUUGGGGCAACUGUUUUUUUAAUUAGACAUCGAAGAAAGAAAGAAAAGAAUUAAAUCUCUCACAGAAGACCCAAAUAAGAUUUUUUUGGAAGAAAGAAAAAGUUACCACAGGGAUAACAGCGUUAUUCCUUUUGAGAGUUCUUAUUAACAAAGGAGUUUACGACCUCGAUGUUGGAUCAGGUUUACCUGGAGGUGCAGUAGCUUCAUAAGGUUGGUUUGUUCAACCAUUAAAAACUU